CUUCGUUGAUUAUCAAUUUGAAGGUAUACAAGGAAGUGAUUAUAAAUAAUCAUGAUCUAAUCAUAUAUAUGAGAUAAAUAGGAAAAUCAAUCUGAAAUGGGAAGUUUCUUUUCUAAAAACAACUUUUUCAGGAAAAGGGGGUCGCGAUUUAACAGGUCAGCCAAAAGGAAAGGGUGUAACCGCUGGAUCAGAAUCUAGGACACCAGCUAUACCCGAGCCAAACCCCGGGCCUACAGUAGUGUCUCCAACAACAAAUCCCGCUCCUUUCUCGCCAACUGUCACCUCAGAUACAACACUCUCGGCUCCUAGUUUAGGGGAAAUUAAGUAACAUUUUUCUACUACAGUGAAUCCAUUUGCACACUGAAUGUGCUUCACGGUUCCACAUUUACGAUAAUGAAAUCAUAGGACCUUCUCUACAACAACGACUCGAAAUGGCGUUCAGAAAAUUUUCUCUGCAACAUUGACUCUAGAUACAACACCAUUAUGUUAAUUCUCGUCUCCAUAUUUACAAAAAACAGUCCGCGACCUUUCUCUUCAACAGUAAGUUAAAACAACAUAAAUUUCCAUAUAUACAAAGAAAAAGUAUUGAACCUUUCUCUUCCACAGUGACUGAAGUUACAUCACCAUUUAAGUGUUUCCCGUGUAACUAUGUACGGAGAGAAAUAUGGAAUCUUUCUCCUCAGCAGUGACAGAAGUUACAUCACCAUUACAGUGUUUACCGUCUGCAUGUAUUCGGGGAGAAUAUGGAAUCUUUCUCUUCAACAGUGGCAGUAGUUACAUCACCAUUACAGUGUUUCCCGUCUGCACGUAUACGAGGGAGAAUAUGGAAUCUUUCUCUUCAACAGUGACUGAAGUUACAAAACCAUUAAAGUGUUUCCCGUCCGCAUACAUACGGGGGAGAAUAUGGAAUCUUUCUCUUCAACAGUGACAGUAGUUACAUCACCAUUACAGUGUUUCCCGUCCGCAUGUAUACUGGAGAAAUAUGGAAUCUUUCUCUUCAACAGUGACAGUAGUUACAUCACCAUUACAGUGUUUCCCGUCCGCAUGUA
Molecule: long non-coding RNA, 1049 nt
Organism: Mya arenaria
Lineage: Eukaryota; Metazoa; Mollusca; Bivalvia; Myida; Myidae
Exons: 3
Source: RefSeq, a predicted model, not a curated record